Long non-coding RNA from Carya illinoinensis, 306 nucleotides. RefSeq lists it as uncharacterized. Lineage: Eukaryota; Viridiplantae; Streptophyta; Magnoliopsida; Fagales; Juglandaceae. The record is from RefSeq and is a predicted model, not a curated record. The transcript is spliced from 3 exons.
AAAUUUUUCUCAAGCCCACAACCGUGCGACACUACCUUUCUUUCCCUCCUAUUUCCUUUCUCCUUCCAAUCUUAAGCCAAACAACUAUUAUUUCUUCUUCUCAAGAGGAAAAUAGCAAGCCAAGGGAUUUAUGUGCUCUCUUGUUCCCUACACCGAACCCACCUCUUCUCUUCUCCAUUUUCAUGUUUUGGGAAGGAUUCACCAAAGGACCUAUUGACGUUGGAAGUACUGAGGCGUAUUGAGGUAAGUAGCUAUGACCAUGCUCUUACACAAAGUUCUCUCGUGAAAGAAUGUCUCUCUCUCUCU